AAGAAGAACAACGUGUUGACAAUCAAAGACUUGAGAGCUUUUACAUACACUUGAACAGCCCUCCUUAAAGACACCUAUGGAUUAGGCUAGCCAGCUAGUCUAUGUGUUUUGUGGGAGUGGCUUUGGAGGGAGGUCUGAAAGUUCUGCACGCUUGAGGGAGGAUCUCAGUGUUUAGACGUGGUUCUGGUUAGACUUACUGGGAACGACUCUUGCUCCACCAUGAGGGAGACCGACUGAUCCUGGUCGAACAACUCCUCCAGCUCCUUGGGAAACCUGUACCGGUGAUAACAGAAACAACAUGCAUUCAACACUUCGUCAAAACCCAGGAAGACAAAGGAACUUUUUGCCUGUCGGGACGGGAAAGUAGUUCCCCGUGGCCAUGAACAUCAAGGUGCACCCAACGGCCCACACAUCAACAGGCCUAGAUGUCGAAGAAGAAGCAGACCAAACGUGAUGUAGUUAGAGCUGUAGUGAUGCUAUGCUGAGACAGAGGUGUGCCAUAGUGUCCGUCCAUGCCCCCAGUUGAAGAUACCCACUUGUUGUACUCCGGGUCCAUCACCAGCAUCUCUGGUGCGCUGAACUCCUUCGUGCCCGCAUCCCGUGUGAGCGGUUCGGCAGCAUCAUUGGUCGCGCGGGCGUCGCCAAAGUCGGCCAACUUGAUGACUCCCGAGUGCGAGACCAGCAGGUUAUCCGGCUUGAUGUCUCGGUGCAUUAUCUGGUGGAGCAAACGUCAAGUGGAAGACAAGCUUUAGAACACUUUUAUAAAGGAGGUAAGCUGUACAGUUUGAACGUCUGAAGUAGAAAUAAAACAAAUAAAGCCACAGGCGACCAAAGGGAAAUAGAUGCAAAAAAAAAAAAAAAUGGCAUUAUUAUUAUAAGUAUAAUUGUUGUUAUUAUUAUUAACAAAAUAAAAUAAAUGUAGGCUAUUUGAAUAAUGUUAUAAGUAAAUAUUCACAUUGUGGCUGUGGAUGAAGUCUACUGCUCUGAGGAUCUGGAAACUGUAUUUCUUGAUCUUCAGCCUCUCCAGACCGCAGCCAGAAACUUGAACUUUCUUUUUCACCUCGUCAAAAACGCUCUGGUCGAGGAGCUCAAAGAUGGCAUACAUGCGCUCGCCGUGGAUGAACGCUGUCAGCAGUCGGACGACAUUGUCGUGCUUCAACACCUGUUGACCAGAGAAAAAUUCACCAAGAUGUAUUUGACGCGUUCAUGUGCUGUAAUUGGAGAACACUCCCACUAGGUGGAGCUAAAGGUCCUUACCGACAGCGGCGAGAGUUCCCGCUGAAAGACGAGGUGCGUUUCAACCAAGGUAGAGAACUUUUUCAUGGCGAAGAAGUUCCCUGAAUAAAGGCUUCUACAUUUGAGUACCUCUCCAAAUCCACCACUGCCAAGAUGCUCAAAAACUUCGUAGUUUUCCAUAUCUGAUAUCCAAGAAGUUAUAGAAAUCUGGACGGGGAAGGUUUAUAAAAUCAGAAAAACUAACUUUAUGUUAUUUGCUUUAGAAAAAAACAAUAUAUGGUCUAUAA
Molecule: long non-coding RNA, 1523 nt
Organism: Gadus macrocephalus (Pacific cod)
Lineage: Eukaryota; Metazoa; Chordata; Actinopteri; Gadiformes; Gadidae
Exons: 3
Source: RefSeq, a predicted model, not a curated record